RNAcentral lists this ribosomal RNA (253 nucleotides) under uncultured bacterium. RNAcentral's name for it is "partial 16S ribosomal RNA". It matches the Rfam family "Bacterial small subunit ribosomal RNA", at positions 524 to 776 of the family's 1533-position model. The record is from RNAcentral.
UACGUAGGGUGCAAGCGUUAAUCGGAAUUACUGGGCGUAAAGCGUGCGCAGGCGGUUUUGUAAGUCAGAUGUGAAAGCCCCGGGCUUAACCUGGGAAUGGCAUUUGGGACUGCAAGGCUGGAGUUUGGCAGAGGAGACUGGAAUUCCUGGUGUAGCAGUGAAAUGCGUAGAUAUCAGGAGGAAUACCGAUGGCGAAGGCAGGUCUCUGGGCUAUAACUGACGCUCAUGCACGAAAGCGUGGGGAGCAAACAGG